RNAcentral lists this ribosomal RNA (240 nucleotides) under Enterococcus faecalis. Its description in RNAcentral is "partial 16S ribosomal RNA". It matches the Rfam family "Bacterial small subunit ribosomal RNA", at positions 978 to 1219 of the family's 1533-position model. Lineage: Bacteria; Bacillati; Bacillota; Bacilli; Lactobacillales; Enterococcaceae. The record is from RNAcentral.
GUCUUGACAUCCUUUGACCACUCUAGAGAUAGAGCUUUCCCUUCGGGGACAAAGUGACAGGUGGUGCAUGGUUGUCGUCAGCUCGUGUCGUGAGAUGUUGGGUUAAGUCCCGCAACGAGCGCAACCCUUAUUGUUAGUUGCCAUCAUUUAGUUGGGCACUCUAGCGAGACUGCCGGUGACAAACCGGAGGAAGGUGGGGAUGACGUCAAAUCAUCAUGCCCCUUAUGACCUGGGCUACAC